RNAcentral lists this ribosomal RNA (470 nucleotides) under uncultured bacterium. Its description in RNAcentral is "bacterial SSU rRNA". It matches the Rfam family "Bacterial small subunit ribosomal RNA", at positions 28 to 507 of the family's 1533-position model. The record is from RNAcentral.
GACGAACGCUGGCGGCGUGGAUUAGGCAUGCAAGUCGGACGGUAGGGCUUUAUCGUAAGAUAGAGUUUGAGAGUGGCGAACGGGUGAGUAACACGUGAGUAACCUGCCCCAGACUCUGGGAUAACAGUUGGAAACAGCUGCUAAUACCGGAUACGAGACGGAGAGGCAUCUCUACCGUCUGGAAAGUUUUUCGGUCUGGGAUGGACUCGCGGCCUAUCAGCUUGUUGGUGAGGUAAUGGCUCACCAAGGCGACGACGGGUAGCCGGCCUGAGAGGGCGACCGGCCACACUGGGACUGAGACACGGCCCAGACUCCUACGGGAGGCAGCAGUGGGGAAUAUUGCACAAUGGGCGAAAGCCUGAUGCAGCGACGCCGCGUGAGGGAUGACGGCCUUCGGGUUGUAAACCUCUUUCAGCAGGGAAGAAGCGAAAGUGACGGUACCUGCAGAAGAAGCACCGGCUAACUCCGUG